GGAUUUUCCGAUGGCCUCUGCCGUUGCCUGAGGGGGCGGACGCCAUGCCGGGCAGGGCAGCACAGUCCAUCAUCUUGAGUCGCGGGCGACUGGCGGGCGCGGUAAUGGCGUCUUUUCGGACUACCCUUACACGGGAUCGGGCACGCGGGAAGCCUCGGCCCCGGGUGGUUCGAGCAAUUAUGGGUUCUCAGAUGAGGGUGGCCGUUGCUUGACGGGGCGGACGCGGUUCCCGGCAGAGCGACCCAGUCCGGCCUUGGGAGAAGGCGACCGGGUAAACGGUCAGGAACCGGAGCCUUGCUUCGGUUGGGGGCGGCUUUCGGUAAUAGUGAUAAUAACAGAGGUAUUUAUUAAGCGCUUACUGUGUGUCAAGCACUGUUCUGAGUGCGGGGGUAGGUAGAAGCUAAUGAGGUAGGGCACAGUCCCUGUCCCACACCGGGCGCACAGUAGGAGGGGAGGCUAGCGGGUGCUGUAUUUUUUUUUUUUCCGAAUAAGGGCGGUUGGGAAGUUUUAGACCGGUUAAAGGUGUGUCAGUUUCCUCAGAGGAGUGUGACCGUUGCUUGAGGGGGCGGGUAGUUUGGGAGAAGGUGGAUGGGAAAAGAUUUGGCGGGAACUGGGGCCUCGUUUGAGGUGUAGGCGGCUUUCGGCUAAGGGACGCGGUAACGGCUUUCUCUCUGACUGCGCAGGCGCGAAGCUUCGGCCGGGCUGUGGAGCUCCAUUGUCCCUGGGGGCCGCGCCCCGCCCUCCACAGAGACUGCUGAUUAGUGGGGCCGAGGAGAGGAGUCACUGCCUGUUGGACGGGAGGCCCCUCAACUUCAUCGACUGCCUUGUAUCCCAAAGACUCUAAACUAAGUGAAGCCUGGCACGUACCCCAGCCCAUCGCAGAGUGCUUUACUUGAAAUCCACACAUCAUUGAAAAGUUUUGAGGAAAGACUCAGAAAAAGAAACAUCUAUCUUAGAUUCUUUCAAAACCUCUGAGACAUCCAUCUUAGAGGAAAAAUCCAAGUCACAGUUUGAGAACCUCCUAAAUUACAGUUAGCAGAGGAACACCAGAAGCAUAAUGGAAGCAUUUAAGUUGUCCUCUGACCUGGAAGAUGACAGUUCCCCGAUCUCUCCAGUUCAAAUUCAGGACUUGGAGUUCAGCAGUGAGGAUAAGCCAAGUGAUACAUUAAAUAUUGAUGAAACAACCUUAUUCCCUGAUAAACCAGAUGAUUUACCAUUAUUUGAAUAUGGAGGGUAUGAUGUAACUCCAGCGCUGGAGAGUAGUACCUCUUCUAAAAGCCAAAGCAAAGCAAAUUUGAAGGCAAAGAUUGAACAGUUGCAAAUUAAUUUAGAACCUAAGCGGGCCACUAGGAAAUCUAGCUCCAAGGUCAAUACUGGCAAGGGUUUUAAGGAAGGCAGUUACACUGGCAAAGAGCCAAUUGGCAAGAAGGCUAAGGCUAAGUCUAAAUUCAAACUAAAAUGGCCAUCUAGUGGCACUGGCGACUCCCUGUUCCAAAGUACCUCACAACUCCUGGGAUUUGGUAUGGAAAAGGAAGAAAAGCAGUCCAGAGCGGAGUUGUCAAGUGAAAGUGAACUGGACAUCCCAGUGGCGGGCCAGGGCGACCAAGAAAGCAAGUCAACAAAAAUGCCAGAAACAAGACUCGAGUCUUUUCAAGAAUAUUUGUUUCGCAAGCAAGCGACAAGAAGAAGAGUAUGCUUCUCAGAGAAAAGCCCCAUCGGAGGCAACGUCAAUCAACCCCAAUUCCAUCUAGAAGUAUUUGAUUCAGCUCCAGCUUCUGGCCAGAAAUCCCUUUUCCUGUCUUCAAAAGAAAAGGCAGAGAGAGAAAUGGAAAAUCCUGCAAUCCCGGAAGCAAAAAAGAGAAAAUACUAUAAGUGAAGAGAUCAUCUAAGUGCAUAAUCUACUUCAGAGAUUUAGCUUUAUUCAGAAGCUGAGAAAUCAUUGAGUUCUGUCGACCCCAAACCUGUUGUCAAGUUGCACACCUUCUAGCAGCCUGAGGCCCAUUGUCCUGGAUUAAUCUCCAGCAGGUCAAGUUGGGUAACUUGUGGUUAUGUGGGUUUCUACUUAGAGAAGUCGCCCCACUGACAACCCACUCUAAAGUUUCAAUUUUAAAAUUCAUAGUUUAGGAAACAAGUGUUUAUUUGUAAUCCUGUUGAGGAGUUUGCUGCUAGAAAGGCUAUUCAUGUUUAUGUGAAAGAGGAAGCUGUUAUGGUAGACCUGAUAUAAUUACUUGGUAUUUUGUAAUAAAUGUUAUUAAAAGUUC
Ornithorhynchus anatinus (platypus) is the source of this 2261-nucleotide long non-coding RNA. RefSeq lists it as uncharacterized. NCBI's taxonomy places the organism in Eukaryota, Metazoa, Chordata, Mammalia, Monotremata, Ornithorhynchidae. The transcript has 5 exons. The record is from RefSeq and is a predicted model, not a curated record.